RNAcentral lists this long non-coding RNA (285 nucleotides) under Neogale vison (American mink). RNAcentral's name for it is "Neovison vison (American mink) lncRNA (ENSNVIG00000019731.1)". Lineage: Eukaryota; Metazoa; Chordata; Mammalia; Carnivora; Mustelidae. The record is from RNAcentral.
CAUGACUGCUAAGGAGAAUAAUUGUGCUUACAUCCCUGGACAUCUCCAGUGGGAAAUUCUGCAUUUGGGACCUCCUGAAUGCUAGGAAGUUGAACUUGAAUAUAUGUGGAAACUGGAGUGGGAAGAACACAGAUAGCCACAUCCCUGUGUCUGUUCCUUCUGGCUUGGAGGCACACCAUCUUUCCCCACUGGGGGCAACAAGACCCUGGGACUAAAAGACUGUGAGAUACAGGCGGCUCUGAUCGAAGACCACAGCAGUCAUGGCGUGACCAUUGCUGAAGGUUC